UGCAAGUCGAACGAGGCCCUCUUCCUUCGGGAGGAGGUGUCCUAGUGGCGAACGGGUGAGUAACACGUUGGUGACCUACCCCGAAGAGGGGGACAACCCCGGGAAACUGGGGCUAAUACCCUAUGUGAUCCUAAGGAUUAGAUGCCUAAGGAUGAAAUGGAUGCUUGCAUUCGCUUCGGGAGGGGCCUGCGGCCUAUCAGCUAGUUGGUGAGGUAAUGGCUCACCAAGGCGACGACGGGUAGGGGGCCUGAGAGGGUGGUCCCCCACACUGGAACUGAAACACGGACCAGACACCUACGGGUGGCAGCAGUAGGGAAUAUUGCACAAUGGGCGCAAGCCUGAUGCAGCAACGCCGCGUGCGCGAUGAAGGCCUUAGGGUUGUAAAGCGCUUUUCUGGGGGAAGAGAAAGGACGGUACCCCAGGAAUAAGUCUCGGCUAACUACGUGCCAGCAGCCGCGGUAAAACGUAGGAGGCGAGCGUUAUCCGGAUUUACUGGGCGUAAAGCGCGUGCAGGCGGUUUGGUAAGUCGGACGUGAAAGCUCCCGGCUCAACUGGGAGAGGCCGUUCGAAACUGCCAGACUAGAGGGCAGCAGAGGGAGGUGGAAUUCCGGGUGUAGCGG
Molecule: ribosomal RNA, 620 nt
Filed under: uncultured bacterium
Lineage: Bacteria
Description: bacterial SSU rRNA
Rfam family: Bacterial small subunit ribosomal RNA
Source: RNAcentral